Molecule: ribosomal RNA, 253 nt
Filed under: uncultured bacterium
Lineage: Bacteria
Description: partial 16S ribosomal RNA
Rfam family: Bacterial small subunit ribosomal RNA
Source: RNAcentral
UACGAAGGGGGCUAGCGUUGUUCGGAAUUACUGGGCGUAAAGCGCAUGUAGGCGGGUCGUUAAGUCGGGGGUGAAAGCCCAGAGCUCAACUCUGGAACUGCCUUCGAUACUGGCGACCUGGAGCCAAGGAGACGCGAGUGGAAUUGCGAGUGUAGAGGUUAAAUUCGUAGAUAUUCGCAGGAACACUAGUGGCGAAGGCGACUCACUGGACUUGUGGUGACGCUGGGAUGCGAAAGCGUGGGGAGGAAACAGG